Molecule: ribosomal RNA, 190 nt
Filed under: uncultured Glomus
Lineage: Eukaryota; Fungi; Glomeromycota; Glomeromycetes; Glomerales; Glomeraceae
Description: partial 18S ribosomal RNA
Rfam family: Eukaryotic small subunit ribosomal RNA
Source: RNAcentral
AUUACGUCCCUGCCCUUUGUACACACCGCCCGUCGUUACUACCGAUUGAAUGGCUUAGUGAGGCCCUCGGAUCGAUUUUCUGAGACUGGCACCAGUCUCUGAUUGUUGAGAAGUUGGUCAACCUUGGUCAUUUAGAGGAAGUAAAAGUCGUAACAAGGUUUCCGUAGGUGAACCUGCGGAAGGAUCAUUA